ACUCAUACCUUGCAGGGGAAAUACCAUGUUGUAAAAGUGGAUUUUCCAGGGAGAGGCUCAUCCAUUGCACUUCAGGUAUAUUGCUGAUCCUUGUGAUUUUCCUGAGUGUGGGGAACUCAACUGCAUUAUUUGUGUUAAUGAGAGAUUGUAUUUGUGAUUUUCUUG
RNAcentral lists this small nuclear RNA (165 nucleotides) under Pogona vitticeps (central bearded dragon). RNAcentral describes it as "U1 spliceosomal RNA (ENSPVIG00000018494.1)". It matches the Rfam family "U1 spliceosomal RNA". Rfam says of the family: U1 is a small nuclear RNA (snRNA) component of the spliceosome (involved in pre-mRNA splicing). Its 5' end forms complementary base pairs with the 5' splice junction, thus defining the 5' donor site of an intron. Lineage: Eukaryota; Metazoa; Chordata; Lepidosauria; Squamata; Agamidae. The record is from RNAcentral.